AGAGUUUGAUUCUGGCUCAGGAUGAACGCUAGCGGCAGGCUUAACACAUGCAAGUCGAGGGGCAGCAUGGGGAGUAGCAAUACUCUCUGAUGGCGACCGGCGCAAGGGUGCGUAACGCGUGAGCAACUUGCCCUCAUCAGGGGAAUAAUCGCUGGAAACGGCGUCUAAUGCCCCAUGGCGAUGGAAUCAGGCAUCUGGUUCCAUCUAAAGAUCCGUCGGAUGAGGAUAGGCUCGCGUGACAUUAGCUUGACGGCGGGGUAACGGCCCACCGUGGCGACGAUGUCUAGGGGUUCUGAGAGGAAGGUCCCCCACACUGGAACUGAGACACGGUCCAGACUCCUACGGGAGGCAGCAGUGAGGAAUAUUGGUCAAUGGCCGGAAGGCUGAACCAGCCAUGCCGCGUGAAGGUCAGUGCCCUAUGGGCGUUAAACUUCUUUUGUGCGGGAGCAAUAAGGUCCACGUGUGGACCGACGAGAGUACCGUACGAAUAAGCAUCGGCUAACUCCGUGCCAGCAGCCGCGGUAAUACGGGGGAUGCAAGCGUUAUCCGGAUUUAUUGGGUUUAAAGGGUGCGUAGGCUGUG
RNAcentral lists this ribosomal RNA (582 nucleotides) under uncultured bacterium. RNAcentral describes it as "bacterial SSU rRNA". It matches the Rfam family "Bacterial small subunit ribosomal RNA", at positions 8 to 580 of the family's 1533-position model. The record is from RNAcentral.